UUUUGUGCUAAAAUCUUGGUUCAUUUGAGUCUGUUAUUUGAAGAUACGACGGAUUGAACAUCCUAUAUAUCCUCUCAGCUAAAUAUCAUUAUCAUCAUCUCUUUCCAUUUUGGUUCUGAAGGGUGUGCUCCUUUUCUGUACUUCUAUCAAAUUGUUUAGAGAUAACAAGUUUAUGAUGGAAACUCAACUCAAAACUUGCAACAUUUGAGUUGAUACUGCAAAACAGACUUGUGGGAUUGAAUUUUGGCAGUAAAAUGGGA
This 260-nucleotide unclassified non-coding RNA is filed under the name Hevea brasiliensis (rubber tree). Lineage: Eukaryota; Viridiplantae; Streptophyta; Magnoliopsida; Malpighiales; Euphorbiaceae. The record is from RNAcentral.